GCGUGCCUGGCAAAACACUGACUUCCGGCGGCAACCAUUGUGCUUGCCACUGAAACAGUCCAGAAUGUUUUCAAUAGCAUCUCUGGCUCUCUGUAUGUACUGAUCUUGCUGGUGAAAGAGUUUCUGCAUUCUGGCGCGAAAACUUGUGUGGCAGUGAUGUUGUUUGCUUGUGGCCUGCUUGUGUAAGAUGCAUCGAAUUCCACAUCUGUUUCAGCAGAGGCUCCAGACAAGCUUUGACUGUGCGCGGCGUGGGCGUAACUUGAAUGGCAGAACUGAGGAAUUAAGUCUUUGACCAGCAGCAUUUAGUACAUCAUCCGCAACUGAUUGCUCAAGACGCACAAAAGAUUCCGGACACUGGUUAAUUGAUGCUGACUGUGAUGAAUACAGAGAGCUUUGUAGUAACAUUCUACUCGAACGCCUCUGUUUGCUGCGAUAUUUUGCGGUCUUGUAGAAUGUCUCUUUC
Ruditapes philippinarum (Manila clam) is the source of this 463-nucleotide long non-coding RNA. RefSeq lists it as uncharacterized. The record is from RefSeq and is a predicted model, not a curated record. NCBI's taxonomy places the organism in Eukaryota, Metazoa, Mollusca, Bivalvia, Venerida, Veneridae. The transcript has 4 exons.